This 441-nucleotide ribosomal RNA is filed under the name uncultured bacterium. RNAcentral describes it as "bacterial SSU rRNA". It matches the Rfam family "Bacterial small subunit ribosomal RNA", at positions 338 to 795 of the family's 1533-position model. The record is from RNAcentral.
CCUACGGGAGGCUGCAGUCGAGAAUAUUCCUCAAUGGGCGAAAGCCUGAAGGAGCGACGCCGCGUGCAGGAUGAAGGGCUUCGGCUCGUAAACUGCUUUUUUCAGGGAAGAACAUUGACGGUACCUGAAGAAUAAGAGGUUGCUAACUCUGUGCCAGCAGCAGCGGUAAUACAGAGACCUCAAGCAUUAUCCGGAUUUACUGGGCGUAAAGGGUCCGCAGGUGGUCAUGUGCGUCAACGGUAAAAUCUCCGGGCUCAACCCGGAACCUGCAGUUGAUACGGCAUGACUAGAGGUCGGAAGAGGCGAGCGGAAUUACCGGUGUAGUAGUAAUAUGCGUUGAUAUCGGUAAGAACACCAAAUGCGUAGGCAGCUCGCUGGAACGCACCUGACACUCAGGGACGAAAGCGUGGGGAGCGAAAGGGAUUAGAUACCCCAGUAGUC